This 858-nucleotide ribosomal RNA is filed under the name Ramularia gaultheriae. RNAcentral describes it as "eukaryotic LSU rRNA". It matches the Rfam family "Eukaryotic large subunit ribosomal RNA", at positions 40 to 929 of the family's 3401-position model. Lineage: Eukaryota; Fungi; Ascomycota; Dothideomycetes; Mycosphaerellales; Mycosphaerellaceae. The record is from RNAcentral.
AUAUCAAUAAGCGGAGGAAAAGAAACCAACAGGGAUUGCCCUAGUAACGGCGAGUGAAGCGGCAACAGCUCAAAUUUGAAAUCUGGCGCAAGCCCGAGUUGUAAUUUGUAGAGGAUGCUUCUAGGUAGCGACCGGUCUAAGUUCCUUGGAACAGGACGUCAUAGAGGGUGAGAAUCCCGUAUGUGACCGGCCCGCACCUUCUACGUAGCUCCUUCGACGAGUCGAGUUGUUUGGGAAUGCAGCUCUAAAUGGGAGGUAAAUUUCUUCUAAAGCUAAAUACCGGCCAGAGACCGAUAGCGCACAAGUAGAGUGAUCGAAAGAUGAAAAGCACUUUGGAAAGAGAGUUAAAAAGCACGUGAAAUUGUUGAAAGGGAAGCGCUCACAACCAGACUUCUGUUCAGUGUUCCUCCGGUCUUUUGACCGGUCUACUCACUGUUCCGAGGCCAACAUCAUCUGGGACCGCUGGAUAAGACCUUAGGAAUGUAGCUCCCCUCGGGGAGUGUUAUAGCCUGUGGUGAUGCAGCGAGUCUCGGGUGAGGUCCGCGCUUCGGCAAGGAUGUUGGCGUAAUGGUUGUCAGCGGCCCGUCUUGAAACACGGACCAAGGAGUCUAACAUCUAUGCGAGUGUUCGGGUGUCAAACCCCUACGCGUAAUGAAAGUGAACGGAGGUGGGAAGGGUAACCUGCACCAUCGACCGAUCCUGAUGUCCUCGGAUGGAUUUGAGUAAGAGCAUAGCUGUUGGGACCCGAAAGAUGGUGAACUAUGCCUGAAUAGGGUGAAGCCAGAGGAAACUCUGGUGGAGGCUCGCAGCGGUUCUGACGUGCAAAUCGAUCGUCAAAUUUGGGUAUAGGGGCGAAAG